CCUACGGGUGGCAGCAGUGGGGGAUAUUGCACAAUGGAGGAAACUCUGAUGCAGCGACGCCGCGUGAGUGAAGACGGUAUUCGUAUUGUAAAGCUCUGUCAGCAGGGAAGAAAAUGACGGUACCUGAGGAAGAAGCCCCGGCUAACUACGUGCCAGCAGCCGCGGUAAUACGUAGGGGGCGAGCGUUGUCCGGAUUUAUUGGGUUUAAAGGGGGCGUAGGCUGGGGGGUAAGUCAGCUGUGAAAUGCCCACGCGCAACUGGGGGAAGCGCCCUUGAUACUGCCUGGCUGGAGUGCGGAUGGGGCAGGAGGAAUGUGUGGUGUAGCGGUGAAAUGCAUAGAUAUCACACGGAACACCGAUUGCGAAGGCAUCUCACGAAUCCGCGAUUGACGCUGAUGCACGAAAGCGUGGGUAUCAAACAGGAUUAGAUACCCGGGUAGUC
Molecule: ribosomal RNA, 441 nt
Filed under: uncultured bacterium
Lineage: Bacteria
Description: partial 16S ribosomal RNA
Rfam family: Bacterial small subunit ribosomal RNA
Source: RNAcentral